AGUUUGAUCCUGGCUCAGGACGAACGCUGGCGGCGUGCUUAACACAUGCAAGUCGAACGGAAAGGCCCUGCUUUUGUGGGGUGCUCGAGUGGCGAACGGGUGAGUAACACGUGAGUAACCUGCCCUUGACUUUGGGAUAACUUCAGGAAACUGGGGCUAAUACCGGAUAGGAGCUCCUGCUGCAUGGUGGGGGUUGGAAAGUUUCGGCGGUUGGGGAUGGACUCGCGGCUUAUCAGCUUGUUGGUGGGGUAGUGGCUUACCAAGGCUUUGACGGGUAGCCGGCCUGAGAGGGUGACCGGCCACAUUGGGACUGAGAUACGGCCCAGACUCCUACGGGAGGCAGCAGUGGGGAAUAUUGCACAAUGGGCGGAAGCCUGAUGCAGCAACGCCGCGUGCGGGAUGACGGCCUUCGGGUUGUAAACCGCUUUCGCCUGUGACGAAGCGUGAGUGACGGUAAUGGGUAAAGAAGCACCGGCUAACUACGUGCCAGCAGCCGCGGUGAUACGUAGGGUGCGAGCGUUGUCCGGAUUUAUUGGGCGUAAAGGGCUCGUAGGUGGUUGAUCGCGUCGGAAGUGUAAUCUUGGGGCUUAACCCUGAGCGUGCUUUCGAUACGGGUUGACUUGAGGAAGGUAGGGGAGAAUGGAAUUCCUGGUGGAGCGGUGGAAUGCGCAGAUAUCAGGAGGAACACCAGUGGCGAAGGCGGUUCUCUGGGCCUUUCCUGACGCUGAGGAGCGAAAGCGUGGGGAGCGAACAGGCUUAGAUACCCUGGUAGUCCACGCUGUAAACGGUGGGUACUAGGUGUGGGGUCCAUUCCACGGGUUCCGUGCCGUAGCUAACGCUUUAAGUACCCCGCCUGGGGAGUACGGCCGCAAGGCUAAAACUCAAAGGAAUUGACGGGGCCCCGCACAAGCGGCGGAGCAUGCGGAUUAAUUCGAUGCAACGCGUAGAACCUUACCUGGGUUUGACAUGGAUCGGGAGUGCUCAGAGAUGGGUGUGCCUCUUUUGGGGUCGGUUCACAGGUGGUGCAUGGCUGUCGUCAGCUCGUGUCGUGAGAUGUUGGGUUAAGUCCCGCAACGAGCGCAACCCUUGUUCACUGUUGCCAGCACGUUAUGGUGGGGACUCAGUGGAGACCGCCGGGGUCAACUCGGAGGAAGGUGGGGAUGACGUCAAGUCAUCAUGCCCCUUAUGUCCAGGGCUUCACGCAUGCUACAAUGGCUGGUACAGAGAGUGGCGAGCCUGUGAGGGUGAGCGAAUCUCGGAAAGCCGGUCUCAGUUCGGAUUGGGGUCUGCAACUCGACCUCAUGAAGUCGGAGUCGCUAGUAAUCGCAGAUCAGCAACGCUGCGGUGAAUACGUUCCCGGGGCUUGUACACACCGCCCGUCAAGUCAUGAAAGUUGGUAACACCCGAAGCCGGUGGCCUAACCGUUGUGGGGGAGCCGUCGAAGGUGGGACUGGUGAUUAGGACUAAGUCGUAACAAGGUAACC
This 1484-nucleotide ribosomal RNA is filed under the name Cutibacterium acnes. RNAcentral's name for it is "bacterial SSU rRNA". It matches the Rfam family "Bacterial small subunit ribosomal RNA". The record is from RNAcentral. Lineage: Bacteria; Bacillati; Actinomycetota; Actinomycetes; Propionibacteriales; Propionibacteriaceae.